GAGGAAAGUCCGGGCAACACAGGGCAGCGUACUUCCUAACGGGAAGGCCCCGAUUAGUCGGGGACAGAAAGUACCACAGAAAACAAACUACCAUGCCCCGACGAGUCGGGGUAGGAAAAGGUGAAAAGGUGAGGUAAGAGCUCACCGGCCUGGUGGUGACAUCAGGCGCUGGCAAACCUUACGCGUUGAAAAGUCAAAUAGGCCCCGAUCAUGAAUGGCUCGUUCAACUUCCACCCGACUUGUCGGGACGGAAUAUCGGGGUGGGUAGACCGAUUGAUCUCAUCAGCAAUGAUGUGACCAGAUAAAUGAUAAAGGCCCCGACUUGUCGGGGUACAGAACCCGGCUUA
Molecule: RNase P RNA, 347 nt
Filed under: unidentified eubacterium clone LGB#27
Lineage: Bacteria; Pseudomonadati; Bacteroidota
Description: partial ribonuclease P RNA
Rfam family: Bacterial RNase P class A
About the family: Ribonuclease P (RNase P) is a ubiquitous endoribonuclease, found in archaea, bacteria and eukarya as well as chloroplasts and mitochondria. Its best characterised activity is the generation of mature 5'-ends of tRNAs by cleaving the 5'-leader elements of precursor-tRNAs.
Source: RNAcentral